AGUCGUAACAAGGUUUCCGUAGGUGAACCUGCGGAAGGAUCAUUAGUGAAAAUACCCUUUGCAUAUGGGUUGCUUCAACCUGUAUCCACCUUUGUGAAUUGUUUUUUUUUGUUACGUAGCCUUAAAGAGCAAUCCUUAGGGCUAUUAACAAGCUUGAAAUUUUUGUUUGGCUGAAACUUUUGGUUUACAAAACAAAUCAAAUACAACUUUCAACAACGGAUCUCUUGGCUCCU
RNAcentral lists this unclassified non-coding RNA (233 nucleotides) under fungal sp. RNAcentral's name for it is "partial internal transcribed spacer region". The stretch from base 1 to 45 matches the Rfam family "Eukaryotic small subunit ribosomal RNA", at positions 1787 to 1831 of the family's 1831-position model. The record is from RNAcentral. Lineage: Eukaryota; Fungi.